This 377-nucleotide ribosomal RNA is filed under the name uncultured bacterium. RNAcentral describes it as "bacterial SSU rRNA". It matches the Rfam family "Bacterial small subunit ribosomal RNA", at positions 521 to 896 of the family's 1533-position model. The record is from RNAcentral.
UAAUACGUAGGAGGCGAGCGUUAUCCGGAUUUACUGGGCGUAAAGAGGGCGUAGGCGGCUUUUCAAGUUGGAUGUAAAAUCUCCCGGCUUAACUGGGAGGGGUCAUCCGAUACUGUUGGGCUAGAGGGCAGCAGGGGGAGGUGGAAUCCCCGGUGUAGUGGUGAAAUGCGUAGAUAUCGGGAGGAACACCAGUGGCGAAGGCGGCCUCCUAGGCUGUUUCUAACGCUGAGGCCCGAAAGUGUGGGUAGCGAACAGGAUUAGAUACCCUGGUAGUCCACACCGUAAACGAUGGACACUAGGUAUAGGGAGUAUCGACCCUCUCUGUGCCGAAGCUAACGCCUUAAGUGUCCCGCCUGGGGACUACGGCCGCAAGGCUA